CCCCUACUCCUACGGGAGGCAGCAGUGGGGAAUAUUGCACAAUGGGCGCAAGCCUGAUGCAGCAACGCCGCGUGAGGGACGACGGCCUUCGGGUUGUAAACCUCUUUUAGUAGGGAAGAAGCGAAAGUGACGGUACCUGCAGAAAAAGCACCGGCUAACUACGUGCCAGCAGCCGCGGUAAUACGUAGGGUGCAAGCGUUAUCCGGAAUUAUUGGGCGUAAAGAGCUCGUAGGCGGUUUGUCACGUCUGCUGUGAAAACUGGGGGCUCAACCCCCAGCCUGCAGUGGGUACGGGCAGACUAGAGUGCGGUAGGGGAGAUUGGAAUUCCUGGUGUAGCGGUGGAAUGCGCAGAUAUCAGGAGGAACACCGAUGGCGAAGGCAGAUCUCUGGGCCGUAACUGACGCUGAGGAGCGAAAGCAUGGGGAGCGAACAGGAUUAGAUACCCUGGUAGUCCAUGCCGUAAACGUUGGGAACUAGAUGUAGGGUCCAUUCCACGGAUUCUGUGUCGCAGCUAACGCAUUAAGUUCCCCGCCUGGGGAGUACGGCCGCAAGGCUAAAACUCAAAGGAAUUGACGGGGGCCCGCACAAGCGGCGGAGCAUGCGGAUUAAUUCGAUGCAACGCGAAGAACCUUACCAAGGCUUGACAUAUACGAGAACGGGCCAGAAAUGGUCAAUUUCU
RNAcentral lists this ribosomal RNA (679 nucleotides) under Staphylococcus sp. RNAcentral describes it as "bacterial SSU rRNA". It matches the Rfam family "Bacterial small subunit ribosomal RNA", at positions 330 to 1018 of the family's 1533-position model. The record is from RNAcentral. Lineage: Bacteria; Bacillati; Bacillota; Bacilli; Caryophanales; Staphylococcaceae.